GAUGAACGCUGGCGGCGUGCCUAAUACAUGCAAGUCGAGCGAACAGACGAGGAGCUUGCUCCUCUGACGUUAGCGGCGGACGGGUGAGUAACACGUGGAUAACCUACCUAUAAGACUGGGAUAACUUCGGGAAACCGGAGCUAAUACCGGAUAAUAUAUUGAACCGCAUGGUUCAAUAGUGAAAGACGGUUUUGCUGUCACUUAUAGAUGGAUCCGCGCCGCAUUAGCUAGUUGGUAAGGUAACGGGUUACCAAGGCUACGAUGCGUAGCCGAACUGAGAGGGUGAUAGGCCACACUGGAACUGAGACACGGACCAGACUCCUACGAGAGGCAGCAGUAGGGAAUCUUCCGCAAUGGGCGAAAGCUUGACGGAGCAAGGCCGCGUGAGUGAUGAAGGUCUUCGGAUCGUAAAACCCUGUUAUUAGGGAAGAACAAAUGUGUAAGUAACUAUGCACGUCUUGACGGUACCUAAUCAGAAAGCAACGGCUAACUACGUG
RNAcentral lists this ribosomal RNA (497 nucleotides) under uncultured bacterium. RNAcentral describes it as "partial 16S ribosomal RNA". It matches the Rfam family "Bacterial small subunit ribosomal RNA", at positions 28 to 507 of the family's 1533-position model. The record is from RNAcentral.